UGGGGAAUUUUGCACAAUGGGGGAAACCCUGAUGCAGCGACGCCGCGUGAUUUAGAAGGCCUUCGGGUUGUAAAAAUCUUUUCUAUGGGAAGAAAAUGACAGUACCAUAGGGAUAAGGACCGGCUAAUUACGUGCCAGCAGCCGCGGUAAUACGUAAGGUCCGAGCGUUGUCCGGAAUCAUUGGGCGUAAAGGGUACGUAGGCGGGUAAGCAAGUUAGAAGUGAAAUCCUAUAGCUCAACUAUAGUAAGCUUUUAAAACUGCUCAUCUUGAGGUAUGGAAGGGAAAGUGGAAUUCCUAGUGUAGCGGUGAAAUGCGCAGAUAUUAGGAGGAAUACCGGUGGCGAAGGCGACUUUCUGGCCAUAACCUGACGCUGAGGUACGAAAGCGUGGGUAGCAAACAGG
This 402-nucleotide ribosomal RNA is filed under the name bacterium. Its description in RNAcentral is "partial 16S ribosomal RNA". It matches the Rfam family "Bacterial small subunit ribosomal RNA", at positions 355 to 776 of the family's 1533-position model. The record is from RNAcentral.